GAUGAACGCUGGCGGCGUGCCUAAUACAUGCAAGUCGAGCGAACAGAUAAGGAGCUUGCUCCUUUUACGUUAGCGGCGGACGGGUGAGUAACACGUGGAUAACCUAUCUAUAAGACUUGGAUAACUUCGGGAAACCGUAGCUAAUACCGGAUAACAUCUUGAACUGCAUGGUUCAAUAGUGAAAUGCGGCUUUGCUGUCACUUAUAGAUGGAUCCGCGCCGUAUUAGCUGGUUGGUAAGGUAACGGCUUACCAAGGCAACGAUACGUAGCCGAACUGAGAGGGGGAUAGCCCACACUGGAACGGAGACGGCGACCAGACGCCUGAGAGAGGCAGCAGUAGGGAAUCUUCCGCAAUGGGCGAAAGCAUGACGGAGCAAGGCCGAGUGAGUGAUGAAGGUCUUCGGAGCGUAAAACUCGGUUAUCAGGGAAAAACCAAUGUGUAAGUAACUGUGCACAUCUUGACGGUACCUGAACAGAAAGCCACGGCUAACUACGUG
This 497-nucleotide ribosomal RNA is filed under the name uncultured bacterium. RNAcentral describes it as "partial 16S ribosomal RNA". It matches the Rfam family "Bacterial small subunit ribosomal RNA", at positions 28 to 507 of the family's 1533-position model. The record is from RNAcentral.